AGCCACUUAGUCCCUCAAGAUGCAAGGUUUGCUAAGUGUUUUGAGGUUGCAAACUGACUUCUGGGUUUUGAGAACUAUUUGACUUUCUGGCUUCACAACUGGCCAUCAAACUACAGUCAGUCAUGCAACAGGAGCCUCUGAUGACGACCCUUUCUGCUGGGAACCCUUAAAUAGGCCUCUGAGGGAGCUCUGACUGCGGCUUCCCCCAAAACAGCGCCCCCUGUCAGCAGGAGGCAAUAAUGGAGCUAUUUUUUUCUUUCGUUGUCCAAGUGGAAGAUGUUAAAAAAGAAACCCUCAAUGGUAAUGCAGUUUAUACCAACUUCACACAAUCUGUUACACUCAUUGAUCCGUGGAAUAAUCAUGACACUCAAAUGAAUUUGUAUGCUGGUAUUUACUAUGGGAAUGUAAAAAGAAUAUUACACUAGGUUUUGACAGAUUUGGGCUAACAGGUAAAUCUUUAUUGUAAAAGAUUUUAUUUUAAGAAAUGGGAUGUACAAGGGAAAUGGUAAUUAUGUUCCCAAAGCAUCAAUAAUUUCAAAAAGAGAAUGUAGAAGAAGAUUGUUUUCCAUAGUUUUAACACAGAAAAUUUAAUACUCUAUCAAAAAGAAGGCACCUUCUCCCUGUAGCCUCUGAAGCUUUCAGAGCACACUGUAAUACAAUUUCAAAAGGAAGCCACUUCUAUAAAUUCAUACCCACCCUGGUGUGCAACUGACAGCUUCAGAGGUAACAUUAUUGACUGCUUACACAAGAAAAUCUUCAUGCAAUGCAAAUUUAAAUUUCCAAGCAUUUAAUAUUUUUUCAAGAUAUUGUAGAACCAAAAAUUAGUAAAUAUUUUUUAAAGUCCAGCACCCUUUUGAGAAAGAAUAAAUCUUCUUAUUUAUGGCCUUGCUUUUAUCAUAUAAUAGUUGAAUCUGUGUAAUAUUUUCUUAAGUAAUAAGCAUAAUAACAAAAUUAAUACCUGUGAAUCUAGCACUCAAAUUGUGAACUCAGAUCUUCCUAGUCUCACUGGAGUUACCUGAGUCUUACAACCCCACCACCUGCCGCACCAGAGGUAGCCAUAGCACAGAAAUCCAUAGCUUUUAUGUAUGCGUAGAUCUUUAAACAUUAUGUUGUUCCCCUUUACUUGUGCUUGAGUCUUAGAAAAAGGCACAAUACUUUAUUUAGUUCUCUGUAAUUUGAUUUUAUUUAUUUACCAUUUUAAACUGAAUAAUUACUUCUAAGAUUCAUCCAUUUUGUUCCAUUUAGCUACAAUUUAUUAUACACUAGUGAAAUGAGUAUUUUGCAUACUAAAUAAAUAUUCUACAUUAAAUAAUAAUUCAUUCUCUCAUCAAUCAAUAUCAGGUUUUUUCCAAUAUUUUGAAAUACCAAAUAAUGCUACUAUGAGUAUAUUUGUAUAUAUGACUUCUGGAACACAUAUUCAUGAAAAUAUACUUGAGAAUGAGAUUUCUGGAUCACAGGAAACUCAAGUAUUUAACUUUUUCAAGUAAUGCCAAGUUGACGCUCCCAUAGACAGCGUGCAUUUUCUUCUUUUGCAUUCUGACACUUGGUAUUGUUAGAGUUCUUAUGUAUUUACCCAUUUAACAAAAUUAUGUUCUCGUUUUGAAUUUCCAUGACUACUAAGCAUCCACUAAGCAUACUUCCCUAUCACUCUAUCUAUCUAUCUAUCCAUCCAUCCAACUAUCUACCUAUCAUCUACCAGUCAUUUUUGUUUUGUUUUCUAUAGAAUGCCUGUUCAUGUUUUACUCCUUUUCCCAGUGGAUUGUCUUUUAUGAUUAAAUCAUAAGAAUUUUUAUAUUUCUGGAUAUUAGUCUUUGUUGUAAGUUCUCUCAGAUGAUGGCUUAUCUUUUUGUUUUCACUAUGGUGUCUUUUGGAGAACAGUAAGUCUUAAUUUUAGUUUCUUAACUUUUAUGUUGGUGGCUUUUGGGUCUUAUUUAAGAAAAAAUUUCUUAAAGUCAGAAAGAUAGUGUCCUAUAUUUUCCACCAAGUGUUUAAGUAUGACUUUUAUAUACCUUUUAAGUCACUAAUCCAUUAAAUUUUCUGUAUGGUAUGAGAGAGAAAUUCAAUUGCAUUUUUUUCCAUGUGGAUAAGCCAAUUACCCCUGCACCAUUUAUUGACAAAUCUAUCCUCCUCCCACUGAUGGGCAAUUGCACCACUGUCACAUAUCAAGUCUCCUUCUAUGUAUUUGUUUGU
Homo sapiens (human) is the source of this 2190-nucleotide long non-coding RNA. RefSeq lists it as uncharacterized. The transcript has 3 exons. The record is from RefSeq and is a predicted model, not a curated record. Lineage: Eukaryota; Metazoa; Chordata; Mammalia; Primates; Hominidae.